Non-coding RNA from Aspergillus flavus AF70, 100 nucleotides. The record is from Rfam. Lineage: Eukaryota; Fungi; Ascomycota; Eurotiomycetes; Eurotiales; Aspergillaceae.
GAGAACAGGGCUUCCCGUCCGCUCAGCCGUACUUAAGCCACACGCCGGGAGGUUAGUAGUUGGGUGGGUGACCACCAGCGAAUCCCUCCUGUUGUAUGUU